AUUGAACGCUGGCGGCAGGCCUAACACAUGCAAGUCGAACGCGAAAGUUCCUUCGGGGCGAGUAGAGUGGCGGACGGUGAGUAACGCGUAGGAAUCUGCCCUGUAGUGGGGGAUAACCCGGGGAAACUCGGGCUAAUACCGCAUACGCCCCACGGGGGAAAGCGGGGGAUCUUUCGGGACCUCGCGCUAUAGGAAGAGCCUGCGUCGGAUUAGCUAGUUGGUAGGGUAAAGGCCUACCAAGGCCACGAUCGGUAGCUGGUCUGAGAGGAUGAUCAGCCACACUGGGACUGAGACACGGCCCAGACUCCUACGGGAGGCAGCAGUGGGGAAUAUUGGACAAUGGGCGCAAGCCUGAUCCAGCAAUGCCGCGUGUGUGAAGAAGGCCUGCGGGUUGUAAAGCACUUUCAGUGGGGAAGAACAGAUUCGGGUCAAUACCCCGGAGCCCUGACGUUACCCACAGAAGAAGCACCGGCUAACNCCGUG
RNAcentral lists this ribosomal RNA (483 nucleotides) under uncultured bacterium. Its description in RNAcentral is "bacterial SSU rRNA". It matches the Rfam family "Bacterial small subunit ribosomal RNA", at positions 29 to 507 of the family's 1533-position model. The record is from RNAcentral.